RNAcentral lists this ribosomal RNA (253 nucleotides) under uncultured bacterium. RNAcentral's name for it is "partial 16S ribosomal RNA". It matches the Rfam family "Bacterial small subunit ribosomal RNA", at positions 524 to 776 of the family's 1533-position model. The record is from RNAcentral.
UACGUAGGGUGCGAGCGUUAAUCGGAAUUACUGGGCGUAAAGCGUGCGCAGGCGGUUCGUUAAGUCAGAUGUGAAAGCCCCGGGCUCAACCUGGGAACUGCAUUUGAAACCGGCGGGCUUGAGUGUGGCAGAGGGGGGUGGAAUUCCGCGUGUAGCAGUGAAAUGCGUAGAGAUGCGGAGGAACACCGAUGGCGAAGGCAGCCCCCUGGGCCAACACUGACGCUCAGGCACGAAAGCGUGGGGAGCAAACAGG